RNAcentral lists this long non-coding RNA (946 nucleotides) under Vigna radiata. RNAcentral describes it as "long non-coding RNA (VRAD_LNC006336)". Lineage: Eukaryota; Viridiplantae; Streptophyta; Magnoliopsida; Fabales; Fabaceae. The record is from RNAcentral.
UGGGAAAAGGAAUAAGUGAGGUGGAGGAGAUUCUAAGAAGGGUGGAAAUGAAAGAACAACUGCAAGAAGGGAAGUAGAAAGCAAGCAUGAGUGGUCAGUAUGCAAUGAAAUAUGCUUAUGUGAUAAUACAGGGGCAGCAAGCUAUGGGUCAACAUGAGAAAAGUUAUAAAGAAGUAUGUAUAUGGGAGACAGAAGUACCACCAAAGGUAAGCUUCUUUUUUUUUUUUUUUUUUUUUUUUUGUGAAGAAUGAUUACAAAUUGGCUUCCAACUAGGGACCAACUGUGUAAAAGAAGUUUUCUUCGGGAAAGCUUAGCUAGAAGCUUCCCCAAGUGUAAGGAUAAUCCAAACACCAUAUCUCAUGUUCUGUUCAAUUGCAGGAUGUUUGAUUGGGUAUGAAAAUAUUGCAAUUGAUGAGUGAGCAUUAAUAGUGUUUUCCCCGAGUUAGCAGAAACACGUUUCUAUCAGCAUAAAUAGAGGCUGUGUAUUAAAUAAAGAACUAUGGUUUAGAUUGUAGUUUGCAAUUAUCUGGUGUAUAUGGAAAGAGGGAAAUAGUGUUUGAUGGAACGGAAAAUGUUUUGCGGACAGGAUGUGAUGCAACACAUCAAGAUAUAUUAUUGGAAGUGGUAUAAACUGACUGAUAAGGAGAGAUGUUCCACGUUUAUCCAAUGGUGUGCCAACCCUGAAAUAUGCAUAAGAAACUUGUUUUACUAAUGAGUUGGCUAUGUGAAAGUUUAAAAAUAGGAUCUUGUAUUUUGUAGAAGUUUAUGGUGUAGUCACUAGGUUCUCUAUGUUUUGGGUUUUGACCGCGUCUGUGAACUAAGGAACUAUGUAGGAAACAAAAUUCUUUGAUUGUUCAGUUUAGGUACGUAAAAAAGGGAGGUCUACCUUGUACCCUAUAUAUAAUAUAUGUAUCAUUGCAGGAAAACAAAAUCAUAUUGAUUACAG